GUGGGGAAUAUUGCACAAUGGGGGAAACCCUGAUGCAGCGACGCCGCGUGAGUGAAGAAGUAUUUCGGUAUGUAAAGCUCUAUCAGCAGGGAAGAUAAUGACGGUACCUGACUAAGAAGCCCCGGCUAACUACGUGCCAGCAGCCGCGGUAAUACGUAGGGGGCAAGCGUUAUCCGGAUUUACUGGGUGUAAAGGGUGCGUAGGUGGCAUGGCAAGUCAGAAGUGAAAGCCCGGGGCUCAACCCCGCGGACUGCUUUUGAAACUGUCAGGCUGGAGUACAGGAGAGGUAAGCGGAAUUCCUAGUGUAGCGGUGAAAUGCGUAGAUAUUAGGAGGAACACCAGUGGCGAAGGCGGCUUACUGGACUGAAACUGACACUGAGGCACGAAAGCGUGGGGAGCAAACAGGA
This 407-nucleotide ribosomal RNA is filed under the name uncultured bacterium. Its description in RNAcentral is "bacterial SSU rRNA". It matches the Rfam family "Bacterial small subunit ribosomal RNA", at positions 354 to 777 of the family's 1533-position model. The record is from RNAcentral.